Molecule: long non-coding RNA, 1940 nt
Filed under: Felis catus (domestic cat)
Lineage: Eukaryota; Metazoa; Chordata; Mammalia; Carnivora; Felidae
Description: lncRNA (ENSFCAG00000051001.1)
Source: RNAcentral
CGGUAAUCUGGUUCUUAGAUGUCGAUUAACAUUAUCUGCCAACAACAGAGUCACUAAGUUAUUCAUCUGUAUGUUCCAAGAGUCUAGUGCUGUGCCUGGCAGGCAGGCAAUAGACCAGUAAGGACCCUUUCUAAAGCUAUCUUAAGUCCGUUUGGAAGCAAGUCUUCAUCCAACAAGUUGGAGUCUGAAGGGUAAGUGGGCAUUAGGGAAAAAGAGGGAGGAGGCGAAGUUCGGGGAGGUGGAGAAGAACCUUCCAGACCUAGGGGACAGCGGGAGCAAAGGCCUGGAGUGAGGGGAGGGUGUGUAUGUGUGUGGCCCUGUGGCAGGGAAUGGGCUUCAGGGCCGUCUGCAGGAGCUGGAGGUCUUGGACAGAGUCAGAGGACGGGUCUCCUCCCAUUGGAGAAGGAGGGAGGAAGGAAAGCAGGCGAGUGUGUAAUCUGAUGUCAGAGCACCGAGAAGGCUUCCAUAGGAUGGCUUCUACUUUGUCUCUGAGGAGGGAAGGAUUCUUCUGAGUGGGAGGAGGGUGGGGGAGAGGGGAGAGGUUUCAGGAGAGAGGACAGGUUUGCAAUAACCCGGGAGGAGAAAGGAGACACAACUGAACUGGGGGGAGUUGGAAGGAUUUCUGAGUGGGGGUUGAGGGUCCGGUAGAGGUUGGAGACCACACGUUUCCAUUAGGGCAACGUCUGUGGUGGGUCAAGGAUUCGUCAGCACCCUGGUAGAGGUGGACUGAUGGAGUUUCAGCAGAUGGGAGGGAUGAAGAGACCAGUGGGACAAGGGCAGGGGCGAUAAUGGCACAGGUAAAGGACCAUGGAUGGGCUGGACAGAGUAGGGCAGAAGCAGGUUGGUCUGCAGGGGGAAAGCCCAGAAGGCAAUGGACUGGAGUUUCCGGACAAACGUGGUAGGCUAGCCUGGAGUUGCUGGAGGUAUCGGGGUGGUGGUUGGGGUGGGGGUCAUCGUAGCAGGGGCAGAUGUGGUUGAUAACAAGGGUCCAGAUGCCGCGGGGAAUGGGGAUGCUCAUGUGGAAAUGGGGGUCACGGAAGUGGUGCUGAAGGAAUUGCACUGAGGACACACAAGGCAGACAAGUGGCCCAACUCAACAGGUGCCCUAAAAGCAGCCACGGAGGUUCUAGGGCUCCCAGGAAUUAGUCCAGCAGCUUCUCCCCAACCGGGGUCACAGAGAGGGUGGGGGCCUGCCCCGAAGCCAGCAGGCAGAACGCUCUCCUGCCCGGCGCCCGCAGGCCAGGGGUCACCUCCCCCAGGAGAGGAGCCAGGAGGCCCCCCAACCGAGCGACCCGGCCGCCCAACCGGAAGCACGUGGCCCCCUCCGGCGCGGUUGCCGGGGAGACGCCGGCUGUUUACCAGCGGGACACGGCCAGGCGACCGCGGCGGAUGGACCAGCGGCGAGGUGAGCGCGCCAGCGCCCGGCGACGAGGCGGGCCUCCCCGGCCCCGACCCUGCGGCGACCUGGCGGCGCCCUCGGGGGAACAGGACGGGCCCCGGGGAGAAGCGGCCACUCCCGGGGCCAAGCCAGCCCGGCCCAGCUCACCGUUGGUGGAAUGGGACAACUCCCGGGAAAGCGCGGGCCGUGCCCUCCUGGCUGGGCAGUACGGACGGGGACGCAGACCCACAGGGACACACGGAGAGACCGGAACCAGAUCAGAGCCUCCCCCAGACCCAAGGCUCAACAGCUGUCUUCCGUCACUCUUGGUUCACUGAUGGGUUUUUUUCCAAGUAAUUGAAAUGAAUGAAUGAAUGAAUGAAUGAAUGAAUUGCAGCCAGCGCCCCUCUUCCCAUGCCAGAAAUCCAGAGGGAAGCCGCUAACUCCCAGCCAGUUGGCACUAAUUCUGGCACCCGGGGGAAGGGGGUGGUGGUGUGAAUGGCUUGGAUCGGGGAGCCCCAGGAAGUUUCAUCCGCGGCUUCUCUUUUCUCUUCUCCUGCUUC